RNAcentral lists this ribosomal RNA (119 nucleotides) under Pteropus alecto (black flying fox). The record is from RNAcentral. Lineage: Eukaryota; Metazoa; Chordata; Mammalia; Chiroptera; Pteropodidae.
UGCAACGGCUAUGCCACUCUGAACACGCCUGAUCUCGUCUGAUCUCGGAAGCUAAGCAGGGUUGGGCCUGGUUAGUACUUGGAUGGGAGACCACCUAGGAAGACAGGAUGCUGUAGGUG